RNAcentral lists this unclassified non-coding RNA (645 nucleotides) under Mucor corticola. RNAcentral's name for it is "sequence contains ITS1, 5.8S rRNA gene and ITS2". The stretch from base 273 to 425 matches the Rfam family "5.8S ribosomal RNA". Lineage: Eukaryota; Fungi; Mucoromycota; Mucoromycetes; Mucorales; Mucoraceae. The record is from RNAcentral.
AAGUCGUAACAAGGUUUCCGUAGGUGAACCUGCGGAAAGGAUCAUUAAAUAAUUUAGAUGGCCUUUGCUAGUUUUCUAGCGAAUGGUUCAUUCUUUUUUACUGUGAACUGUUUUAAUUUUUCAGCGUCUGAGGAAUGUCUUUUAGCCAUAGGGAUAGGCUACUAGAAUGUUAACCGAGCUGAAAGUCAGGCUUAGGCCUGGUAUCCUAUUAAUUAUUUACCAAAAGAAUUCAGUAUUAUAAUUGUAACAUAAGCGUAAAAAACUUAUAAAACAACUUUUAACAACGGAUCUCUUGGUUCUCGCAUCGAUGAAGAACGUAGCAAAGUGCGAUAACUAGUGUGAAUUGCAUAUUCAGUGAAUCAUCGAGUCUUUGAACGCAACUUGCGCUCAAUGGUAUUCCAUUGAGCACGCCUGUUUCAGUAUCAAAAACACCCCACAUUCAUAAUUUUGUUGUGAAUGGAAAUGAGAGUUUCGGCUUUAUUGCUGAAUUCUUUAAAAUUAUUAGGCCUGAACUAUUGUUCUUUCUGCCUGAACAUUUUUUUAAUAUAAAGGAAUGCUCUAGUAAAAAGACUAUCUCUGGGGCCUCCCAAAUAAAUCAUUCUUAAAUUUGAUCUGAAAUCAGGCGGGAUUACCCGCUGAACUUAA